RNAcentral lists this long non-coding RNA (231 nucleotides) under Drosophila guanche. Lineage: Eukaryota; Metazoa; Arthropoda; Insecta; Diptera; Drosophilidae. The record is from RNAcentral.
AACUGUCAAUCGUGUAGUGCGGUCAUGUGGUGCGGAGCCAGUGUGCGCUCUCCUCCAACUGUCCUUUGAGCCAGCGGUUUGCUGUAACCGAACCGAACCGAAACUGAAAGAAGGCACUGAAGCCGCCAAGAGUCCGAGCCAUAGCCGCAGUAACAGCCGCAGAACAAGCACGGCAGUCAGAGAAACAGAGGCACAGCAUCUCUCCGCGUUCUCACUUUAUUUUUCUUCCUG